Molecule: ribosomal RNA, 114 nt
Filed under: Zingiber officinale
Lineage: Eukaryota; Viridiplantae; Streptophyta; Magnoliopsida; Zingiberales; Zingiberaceae
Source: RNAcentral
GUGAUCAUACCAACACUAAUGCACCAGAUCCCAUCAGAACUCUGAAGUUAAGCGUGCUUGGGCGAGAGCAGUACUAGGAUGAGUGACCCCCUGGGAAGUCCUCGUGUUGCACCU